Callithrix jacchus (white-tufted-ear marmoset) is the source of this 2195-nucleotide long non-coding RNA. NCBI's taxonomy places the organism in Eukaryota, Metazoa, Chordata, Mammalia, Primates, Cebidae. The record is from Ensembl.
AAAAAAGCAAAUUCAUUUUCUGGGGAGAAAUACAAGCCAGCUGCAGAAAUUUGCAGAAGUAGCAAGGAGCCUAAUGUUAAUCCCUAAGACCACAGGUGGUCAGGGUCUUGACAGCAGCCCCUUCCUAUCACCGACCUGGAUGUCUAAGAGGAAAAAGUGGUUUUGUGGGCCAGGCCCAGGGUCCCCAUGCCCUGCUAGCUUUUGGACUUGGAUUUUUUUUUUUUUUUUUGAGACGGAGUUUUGCUCUUGUUACCCAGGCUGGAGUGCAAUGGCAUGAUCUCGGCUCACCACAACCUCCGCCUCCUGGGUUCAGGCAAUUCUCCUGCCUCAGCCUCCCGAGUAGCUGGGAUUAUAGGAGCGCGCCACCAUGCCCAGCUAAUUUGUUUUUUGUAUUUUUAGUAGAGACGGGGUUUCACCAUGUCGACCAGGAUGGUCUCGAUCUCUUGACCUCGUGAUCCACCGGCCUCGGCCUCCCAAAGUGCUGGGAUUACAGGCUUGAGCCACCGCGCCCGGCCCAAUAUAAGCAUCUUACACCUAUUAUUUAAUUCUCACCACAAUCAACAAUUCUGUGAUACAGUUACUAUUAACAUUCCCGUUUUACAGAUGAGAGAACAAAGGCACAAAUGUUAUAAACAACUAUUUUUGAAUGAUUAAACACCCUGGACAAGGAAAAGUCUUUAAUAAGCAAAGAACACAAAACAAAUGCAAAUGAAAAAUCAAUCUUAUUUAUAAAGUUGAAAAAUAACAAUACAUAGGCUUAUUCCUCAAGAUUGAGGGAUAUUAGUGAUAAAUUCAGAAAUAAGUCAGGUUUGCCUAUCCUACUUAUGUUGGGUUUUACACUACUGAGUCAGAGAGCACUCUCAUUUUGCUAAGAUUUAGUCCUCAGAGAUCCGAAAUAAUACACAAAUUGCUGCUGCACGUAUAUUAUCAACAUCUGCUCUUAGAUCCCUCCAGUAACUUUUCUGUGCUUCUGUGUUUCUGGAGUUGUUUCAGGAGAUCCAUAGCCUAGGUUUCAUCACAUAGUUAGUUAUUGGUUCUUAUUUUCUUACAAAACUCAACAAUUAGGUUGUGACAUCUUUAUAGAAUGAGCACUUUUAUUUUACAAAAUUAGUGCUACACAUUAAGUCAUCUGACUAUUCCAUAGUCAACCUUCCUCUUCUCUUUAAAUAAAUCGGUACCAGUUGGUCCUGCCUAGCCUUCCUUUAUUUUAAAGAGUUGAUAGUUUCAGAUAUCCUUAAAGUAAUCUUGAAUCUAUGAGAUCCGCUGCCUGCCUUUUGUAGUACUUCACUAGAAUGCUUUAUUUCAAGAAUAAAGUGGUGGUCAAAGUCAGCAUUUAAAAAUGAUAUCAAACAUUUUUUUAAUCUUGCUAAUUGCUCUUCUUCUUUUUCCAAGAAACUGUGCUAGCUUUAACAUACAUUGCCACAAAUAUAAAUAAAAAAUGCUUACUAAAAGGCAGGCAUUGUGCUAGAUGCUGGAGAUAAAGAGGAUUAAGAUACACCCACAAAGAGCCAAACAAGACAGGGCACCAAAGCCACUCAGCUGACUGUCAUCUUGAAAUUAUGGAUUCUGUGUCAUAAUUUAUCAUCCCCAUUUUGUCCUAGCCUUUCUGAUGCUGGGUAUUAAUUUUCCUUUUCUGAGAGCCGACCCCUCCUCUCCUAUUCUAUUCCUCCACUGUUGAACCGGAACAAAGGUCACUUGAAAGGGAAGCAAAACUCAGCUGUUACCAAAGGCGCAAAGAUCAAAGUUGGCAGCUACGCUAAAGUUCAGGAUUAAGAGACUUCCUCUUUAAGAUCAAAAUUCCAGAUGAUCCAAAUAUAGGCAAAUGAGCCCCAGUAGAACACUCAGCUUUCUGUGCUGAAUCCAGGAAAGAAGCAGAAAUCACCAUAGAAGCAACUCAGUUUCACUCUUUGCAACCCCGUGGGCUCUAUGCUAAUUGCCUACCCCAACAGUGAGAUCGCAUUUCAAAAUAUGGUCAAACACAAAACAGCCAAGUCAAUCAAGCAUUAAGUAUUCAAGCACAAUUAUCCGAACACAUGCCCAAGGACCAGCAGUGAAGCAGCUUAAUUUGGGAGCGGCUCCGUAAUCAUCUCUCAGGGCAGCUGAGAUUUUAACCUCUCCCCUCGGGCCUCCUGUUCGGGGCACUAGGCUAGCUCUCUCUGUGUGAGAGAUCACAACGGGAGCCGCUGCCCCCAGUU